This 441-nucleotide ribosomal RNA is filed under the name uncultured bacterium. Its description in RNAcentral is "partial 16S ribosomal RNA". It matches the Rfam family "Bacterial small subunit ribosomal RNA", at positions 338 to 795 of the family's 1533-position model. The record is from RNAcentral.
CCUACGGGUGGCAGCAGUGGGGGAUAUUGCACAAUGGGGGGAACCCUGAUGCAGCGACGCCGCGUGGGUGAAGGAGCGUUUCGGCGCGUAAAGCCCUAUCGGCAGGGAAGAAGGAGGACGGUACCUGACUAUGCAGCCUCGGCUAACUACGUGCCAGCAGCCGCGGUAAGACGUAGGGGGCACGCGUUAUCCGGAUUUACUGGGUGGAAAGGGGGCGCAGACGGCAGAGCAAGCAAGGAGUGAAAGCCCGGGGCUCAACCCCGGGACUGCGCUUGAAACUGCGCGGUUGGAGUGCAGGAGGGGCAGGCGGAAUUCCUGGUGUAGCGGUGAAAUGCGUAGAUAUAAGGAGGAACACCGGUGGCGAAGGCGGCCUUCUGGACUGCGACUGACGUUGAGGCCCGAAAGCGUGGGGAGCAAACAGGAUUAGAUACCCCUGUAGUC